Non-coding RNA from Paramuricea clavata, 713 nucleotides. NCBI's taxonomy places the organism in Eukaryota, Metazoa, Cnidaria, Anthozoa, Malacalcyonacea, Plexauridae. The record is from the annotation of a GenBank genome assembly.
GCUUGAACAGCGCAAGGCCAAGCAUAAAUAGCCUGAGUAUCAGCCCCUCGGUAUUGCCACGUGGUAUUGCGGCAAUACCAAGGAGCUGAUACUCAGGCUAAAGCAUAAAUAAUUAUUAGUUUCACGUCCUAUCUUUUCAACAGAAAGGAUAGCCUGCAACAGAAAGGAUAGCCUGCAUAGCAAACGGUUUUUAAACCGUCAGCUACGCAGGCUACAGAAAGGAUAAUGCAGGUCAAUGUUUAAAUUUCUUGAAAAUUAACACAACUUGGUUACCUGCAUGGUCCUGGUAUAUAGUUAUAAAUAUGACAUACAAUGCAUUCACAAGUUAUGUAACGUUAUUGGUUAUUUAUGGCUUGAAACUACGCUUGUUUUUAACUUUGAUAAUUUUAGCCUGUUGUUUGCACUCAUCAUACAAAGGAUACGUGCAGUUUGGAGUUGAUUUCUGGAUCUGAAAAUGUAGUAGCCAGUGUAGCAGGCAGUGUUAAGCCUGGUUCACACUGGUCGUAAUUCAUCGGCAAUCUAUUGUAUUCUUUUCCGACAGACAAAGCAUCGACCACAGACAAUGGAAAUCCCCGAUUCUUACAACCAGUGUGAACCAGGCAUCAGUUGGCACUGCCAAGCAGGCUAAAACGUGUGGCGUACUGUAGUAUGUGGCUUCUAUAGGAUAGGAACAAGUGAGUUUGUCGUUGACUGAUUGACAUAAACAUGCCCAA